Molecule: ribosomal RNA, 368 nt
Filed under: uncultured bacterium
Lineage: Bacteria
Description: partial 16S ribosomal RNA
Rfam family: Bacterial small subunit ribosomal RNA
Source: RNAcentral
CCUACGGGAGGCAGCAGUGGGGAAUAUUGCGCAAUGGGCGAAAGCCUGACGCAGCGACGCCGCGUGAGGGAUGAAGGUCUUCGGAUCGUAAACCUCUGUCAGCAGGGAAGAACGGUCACUGUGCUAAUCAGCAGUGAAUUGACGUUACCUGCAAAGGAAGCACCGGCUAACUCCGUGCCAGCAGCCGCGGUAAUACGGAGGGUGCAUGCGUGAAUCGGUAUUACUGGGCGUAAAGCGUUCGUAGGCGGUAUGUCAAGUCAAGGGUGAAAUCCCCGCGCUCAAGGUGGGAACUGCCUUUGAAACUGGCGAACUGGAGUGUGUUAGAGGAUAGUGGAAUUCGAGGUGUAGCGGUGAAAUCCGUAGAUAUC